UUUUUUUUUUUUUUUUUUAAGGACAGAGUUUCACUCUGUCACCCAGGCUGGAGUGCAGUGGUGCAAUCACAGCUCACUGCAGCCUCAACCUCCUGGACUCAAGUAAUCCUCCCACCUCAGCCUCCCAAGUAGCGGGGACUCCGGACAUGUGCCACUAUACCUGGCUAAUUUUUGUAUACUUUUAGAGACAGGAUCUCACCAUGUUGCCUGGGCUGGUCUUGAACUCCUGGACUCAAGAGAUCCACCUUCCUCGACCUCCCAAACCUCCCAAAGUGCUGGGAUUACAGGCGCCAGUCACCACUCCUGGCCCAUGAUGGAUUUUCAGAUGACCUCUUUUGCUUUUAGUCUCUCCAAAGAGAGAGAUUCUUGUUUUUAAUGUCAAUAUUGUUAUAAUAGUCAAGAUGGCCUCACCUGAAUGUUGUAGGUGUCAGAAAUUGUUUCAGUAGUAAUAUGCCACUAGGCAGACCACCUAAUCUUUAAAUCCAGUUGUAGCACUCAAUUUACUUUCUGUUUGCGGCACUAGUGCACUGAGCCAAGUCAACUUGCCCACCUUUCUAAUAUUUCUUACAGCUAAGGAGGAACUGUUGGUCCUUUGAUAUCCUAGAAUGCUUUCUACCUUGUGGAAAUGCUUUUCACCUUAAUACACGGAUUAUAUUGUCUAAAUGUCUAAACAGGGAUUCUCUGGUUAGAACUGAAAUGAGAGAGUGAUCCAUUUUCAGAUUUUUAGAGGUUGGCUCCCAUAUUUUAGGUACUAGCUGAUAAGUAUUUAGUUUCCUGGUGACUUUGGAUAGGGCAAGUGGAGAUACAGAGAAUGUGAAAUUCCAGAUAAUAAGACCAGCAUUACUCACAAAUGACAACUGAUGCAGUAAUUUCUGCCCAAAUGCAGUAAGAAUCUUGUAGGGAGAUAAAGUGGUAAAAUUACAUGAAUCUUUUUACCAUGACUAUUUUUUUUUUUCCUAACUGUAGCAUAGUUCUCUGCCUAUAAAGCCAUGUGAAUAUCCUAGACCCAGGAAUUAAUUCCUGCUUAGGAAAAUUUUUUCUUCUGGCUUAUCUUUUGUUUGUGCCCAGAGUUUUGUCCUAGGCCUGUCCCCUGAUCUUUUGCUAUAACACAUACUUAAGGUGCAGUCUUCUUUCCUAAAUCAAUACUUUACUAUUGGUGUUGCUGCCAGUUAUUUAUUUAGAAAGAAAGUGAAAAAAUGCCUAGGUAGUUUGAUUGCAGCAUGCUAAACCCAUAAAUCUGGACAGAAGCCAUGAAGUCUUACCUUUUCUCUGUCUGGCUUGGAUGAACAACGGCCUUAUGCUUUCUAUUACAGGACUAGUUGACCCAGUUCUUCAUAUUGGUUGCACAUUAGAAUUGUAUAGGACCCCCUCUAGACAUUUACAUUUUAUUGGUCUGUUGUGCUACCUGGGCUUUAGAUGAUUCUAAUAUGCAGCCAAGGUUGAGAAUCGCUCCCUAUGAAAUCCCUAAUGGUCUUUAGCAGGAUAACAUCAAUGCAGUUCUCUUUGACCUGAAAAUAUCUUUAUUGAUAUUCCAUGCAAGGCUCUCAAUUCAAAGUGUACAGUGGGCCAAGGCUUAGGUAGUAAAAUGGAUCAUCCAUUUGUCCUCAGAGUAAUUCUGGAGGGAGAUACUGUCAUCCGUCCAGUUUCCUCUCUAUACCAAAUACAAAGUACACAUAAGUAAGCAAAACAAAUUUUCAAAGAUCCUUCUCUAGAAUUCUUGUUCCUUUCCAUAUGUAAUUUCAGUGGAGAUUUCUCAACUAGCUGAAAUGGAGAACUUGAAUUUAUUAAAAUAUCCCAAACUGCUUACAGCAAUUUCUAUUUGUAAAAUAAACAGGUAGCAUUGUUAACGGAGAAAAGGAAGGAUCCUGCUUGGGGUGAUGGUAAUAUGUUUGAUUAUUUGUCUCUUAGCCUGUCUUCUAAGUGGGAUUUCAGUGUCAGUUCACUUCACUUUUCUUGGCUUGUUUUUUUGUGAAUGAAAUGAACUAGCUAAGGCUUAAGUAUUUCUGAAUAAUAUAUGAAAUAUGAAAUGAGUCAUUUUAGGAUCUUUGUUCUGGAAUGUCAAAGACCUAACCAAGUACUUCCCAAAUGAGGUUCCAGAUUCAUUCUUCUCAUCCAGGGUAGUAAAGGUGUUUCAAUGGGUUUGUUACUUGCCCAUGGCAACCUCACACAUGGUAAUAGAGAGGGGAGAAUUGUUUUAUUACCCUAAAAAAGUGAGAACCACUGUUCAAACUAACUAGCUACCAAGAGACUUCUAACUCAUGAAGAAAAUUUGUAUUUAAGAGCAAGUUCAAAUGUAGUAGUCUCUCUUCUGAGAGUAUUCUGGAUACCACGGAAAGUUUCACUUAUAUAUUGCCUACAAGUAAUUGGUAAUUUGAACUUCAGUAGGUAAUAUGUGCAAAGAGAAAAAGUAGGUCAAGGAGAAAGUUGGUUAGUGCAGAGGGCUGAAUUAGCAUCAGUCUGAAAUUUCAUUAAAGUAGCACUAAGGCCUGGGUGUUUGCUUAGCAUGUAAGUGCUGCAGUGUCAGAGAAAAUGCCUCUUAUGCCUUAGAAAAUUUGCUGAAGGCUCCCUGUUACUGGUGGAAUAGAAAAGCAGUAGCCUUUGAGACUCCAAAGAGAGUAGCCCCCUUAGGGUUUUCAUACUGAAGAACCUUGUGGAGUACUGUGAAACAUUGUUGAACUUUAUGCAAAUUAUACUGCACUGGAUUUUAAGAUUUUAUGGAGGAGAGAGUAGAGGAGAAUGGGGAAGUAAUGACAAAAGAUAAAUACGUAAACUUGUACUAUAUUUUAAGCAAGGAAUGAAACAAAUUCCCUCGCAGGAAUUCCCUCUCAGCACUGUGAAGUUUGGUCAAGUUCGGCCUAAUGGGUUGGCUUGCUGAUUCCUCUUAAACCUCUAGGAAAUCCUUUCUAAAACGGCAAAACAAACGUUAGUUUGAGUACUGUUUCACCACCCUGCUCCAUCCCCCUACUCUCAACAAAAGAAAAGCAUUCCCAAACUAUAGGCAAAAGAAAUGUGUUCUAUCUCAGUCCAUUAAUUUUUCAUCUGCUAUGAUCUGUGUUCACAGUUUUAGCACAUUGCAUUAUUUUGUGAUCUGAUAGCAGAACAUCAGGAACUAAUGGCUUCCUUCCCUUUAAGAAACCUUAAAGUUAGAACUUUUUUUUUUUUUUUUGAGACAGGGUCUUGAUCUGUCACCCAGGGUGGAGUGCAGUGGCACACUUAUAACUCACUGCAGCCUCCACCUACCAGACUCUAUCCUCCUGCCUCAGCCUCCCAAGUAGCUGGAAUACAGGCACGUGCCACCACACCCAGCUAAAUUUUCUAUUUUCUUUUAGAGACAGAGUCUCACUAUGUUGCCCAGGCUGGUCUCAAACUCCUGGGCUCAAGUGAUCCUCCCACCUAGGACUCCCAGAGUUAUAGGUGUGAGCCACUGUGCUUGGCCUAGAACUCUAUUUUUGGCAUUUCUUUCUAAAUGAGUACAUUGGAAGAACAUUAGGUUUCCAGGCUCCUCAUAAUUUCUGAAGGGGACCCGCUCUGCUCUGCCUCUGAAAGAAGAAAAGGCUGAGGGUUCAAAUAUAGAAAAGUCAAUGUAGCAGAAAUUUGAUUUCCUUCAGAUGGACAUAGUCUGAAAGAAAUCUAUCCAACUGUUCUCUAUGGUGCUUACAUGAUGGGUGACAGCUGUCCCCAUCUACCUGUCCCUGGCACUGUGCCUUCCCACUGGUCACUGUGAAAAGCAAAUCACACUGGACUCAGAGGCCAGAAUCCAGGACAAAAUCCCCCUUUUCAUCUUGAGCCCAUCACGUCUUUGUAUAGCUGUUAAUGUAGCAUUUACUUCUUUAUGGGAAACUCUUGGGUUUUUAACCCAAGAAGAAAUUGUAAAGCAUUUAAACUAGUCAGAAAAUAAGAUUCUGAUGGUAGCGAUCAAAUAAAGAGAUGAUAGGAAAAUUUCACUUCCUCUCAGUUGAUAUUGAUUGAUAGCAAGGAUCAACUACGCCCACCUCUUCCUAAGUUUUUAAAGGCUACCAUAAUAUUUGUAAGCAACAAAUUUAUCUAACAUUUUUUACAACUUGCUAAUCAAGGAGGAUUCAUAUUAAAACAGACAAUCAGUUUCUAAAAUGUUAUCCCUGAAAGGGAAUGGAAUAGAGUAUUUUUAGCUAUAAGAACCUACCAGUCUGUUUUUUCCCUUUGAAAAAACUAAUGUUUGAAAUUUGUGUCUUUCAUCUGAAGCAGUUACUCCAUUAAUAGUAAAGAUGCCACGGAAAAGUCAGUGAACCAGGAUAGUGCUCUUGCACCACUGAGGGUGCUAGACUGGCUUUGUGCAUCUUAUUUCCUAAGAAUAUCAGUUUUUAUUAUGACCUUAAUUAUAAAUACCUAUAUAUAGGAGUAGGAUUUUCUCUCACCCAACCCUACUUUAAUCAUUAUCACUUAAGUGUAAACCACCACCUCCCCCUCUUUUCCUUUACUGAAAAAAAAUGCACUUUAAUUCCUAAGGAGAGUGGCUGUUCCUGGCCCUGAAGCCAGAUUACUUCAGGAGGAGAGUUAAGGAGGGAGAACUCUUGCCAGACCCUGUGAAAUUAACCAAAUUUCUUAAUGUAAACACACAAGUAAUAGCAUCCACUUUUAAGUGGCCCCCACUCCAUGCCAAAGGGGAAAAGAACCACCAAAUCAAAAAAGAUUUCUAAGUACCUGUCCUGAUUUUGGAAGUUUCACUGAGGAAAAACUAUCUAAGAUCAUUUUCACAGCUAGCAAUUUGUCAGAAACUUUGGUGGUGUUUUGUGGGAGGCUGAGAUUUUUUAAAUUAAAAAUCAAGUGAAAACACAAAGAUCUAAAAUAUGGUCCUGAUUUGUGUCAUUUCUAAGUAUCAGAUUUGUUCUCCCUGCAUUUGACAGAUGUUCUCAGUCUCUCCUCCUGUAAGAUUCUGUCCUUCCCCUGAUGACGAGCCAAUAGUUCUUGGUGGGGUUGCAUGUCUCCUAGAGCCCCAGGACCCCUGUCGUGUCGGGGAAGGGGGGAGGGCAGGAGGGUGGGCAGAGACUCGGGUUGGGGGAGGGAGAUUCAAAGAAAGAGUGAAAAUAUGGGUUUAUAUAAACAUAUUUAAAACAGUUUAGCAAAAGCUUUCUCGUUGAACAGCUUUAAGAACAAUGUGAAUGAAAUCUUAGCAACUUGGUUAGUAAUCUGAAAAGUCUAUUAAUGUAUACUUGAAAUUCUGUUUGUAUAAAAAUGCAUUUUCCUCUUUAUUUUAACACUGUGUAAAAGAACAUUAUGCAUGUGAGUGGUUUGAGAAUUAAAUGGUUUAAUACUCA
This is a long non-coding RNA of Macaca fascicularis (crab-eating macaque), 5294 nucleotides long. The record is from Ensembl. NCBI's taxonomy places the organism in Eukaryota, Metazoa, Chordata, Mammalia, Primates, Cercopithecidae.